RNAcentral lists this ribosomal RNA (404 nucleotides) under Fusobacteriota bacterium. RNAcentral's name for it is "Fusobacteria bacterium partial 16S ribosomal RNA". It matches the Rfam family "Bacterial small subunit ribosomal RNA", at positions 355 to 776 of the family's 1533-position model. The record is from RNAcentral. Lineage: Bacteria; Fusobacteriati; Fusobacteriota.
UGGGGAAUAUUGCACAAUGGAGGGAACUCUGAUGCAGCGACGCCGCGUGAGUGAUGAAGGAAUUCGUUUCGUAAAACUCUGUUCUAUGGGAAGAAAAGGACUGUACCAUAGGAGAAAGCUCCGGCUAAAUACGUGCCAGCAGCCGCGGUAAUACGUAUGGAGCGAGCGUUGUCCGGAAUUAUUGGGCGUAAAGGGUUCGCAGGCGGCUUUACAAGUUGGAUGUGAAAUAUUGUGGCUCAACCACAAACGUGCAUCCAAAACUGCAAAGCUUGAGUUAAGGAGAGGUAAGUGGAAUUCCUGGUGUGGCGGUGGGAUGCGUAGAUAUCAGGAGGAAUACCGGUGGCGAAGGCGACUUACUGGACUUAAACUGACGCUCAGGCACGAAAGCGUGGGGAGCAAACAGG